GGGACAGAUGAGAGAAGGUCUGCUGAGUUGUGACAUCAUAGACAGCAAGACCAGUGAUGACCUCCACCAUGGCCUGGCCCCAUCUCUUCCUUACCCUCCUUGCUCACUGCACUGGGUCCUGGGCCCAGUCUGUGCUGACACAGCCACCUUCUGUGUCCGGGGCUCUGGGCCAGAAGGUCACCAUCUCCUGCACUGGAAGCAGCUCCAACAUUGGGUAUGGUUAUGAUGUGAACUGGUACCAACAGCUCCCAGGAACAGCACCCAAAAUGAUCAUCUAUGCUAAUAACAAUCGACCCUCAGGGGUCCCUGAGCGAUUCUCUGGCUCCAAGUCUGGCAGCUCAGCCACCCUGACCAUCACUGGGCUCCAAGCUGAGGAUGAGGCUGAAUAUUACUGCCAGUCCUAUGACAGGAGUUUCAAUGCUGUUCUGUCCUCAUAG
Non-coding RNA from Lutra lutra (Eurasian river otter), 437 nucleotides. Lineage: Eukaryota; Metazoa; Chordata; Mammalia; Carnivora; Mustelidae. The record is from the annotation of a RefSeq genome assembly.